AUGGAGGCGAGCGGCACGGCUGAGGCUCCCCGGCCACCGCACGUGGCGAUGCUGGUGACGCCCGGGAUGGGCCACCUGGUCCCGCUCGCGGAGCUUGCCAAGCGCCUGGCCGCGCGGCACGGCGUCACGGCCACGCUCAUCACCUUCGCGUCCACGGCGUCGGCUACGCAGCGGUCCUUCCUCGCCUCCCUCUCGGCCGCCAUCUCCUCCAUGUCCCUUCCGCCCGUCGACCUCUCCGACCUGCCACCCGGCGCCACCAUCGAGACGCUCAUGUCCGAGGAGUGCGCCCGCUUGGUGCCGGCGCUGACGGGAGUUCUGUCGGGUCUCAGGGAGACGACGCGGCUGGUGGCUUACGUGGCCGACCUCUUCGGGGCGGACUCGUUCGACGCUGCCGUGGCCGCCGGCGUGCCCAGAAGGUACCUGUUCCAUCCGGGGAACCUGCAUGGGCUAACGUUCAUCCUCCACCUCCCGGAGAUCGAUGUUUCCAUGCCCGGUGAGUUCCGGGACCUCGCCGAGCCCGUCAGGCUGCCCGGCUGCGUUCCCAUCCCAGGGCCGGACGUCAUGUCGUCGUUCCAGGACAAGUCUGACCCCUGCUACCGGUGGAUGGUGCACCACGCCAAGCGCUACCUAGAAUCCGAGGCCAUCCUGGUGAACUCCUUCGACGCCGUCGAGCCGGAGGCCGCCAGGGUGCUCUCUCACCCAGAGCCCGGGCGCCCUCCAGUGUACAACAUCGGUCCACUCAUACGGGCCGACGCCGGCGAGGAGCCGCGCGCUGCGUGCCUGGACUGGCUCGACCGGCAGCCGCACAAGUCCGUCAUCUUCGUCUCGUUUGGCUCCGGAGGCUCGCUGCCGACGGAGGAAAUGCACGAGCUGGCGCUCGGGCUGGAGCUCAGCGGGCAGCGCUUCCUGUGGGUGGUGCGGAGCCCGAGCGACGAGGGGUCCGUGAACGCCAAUUACUACGACGCCGAGAGCAAGAAGGACCCACUGGCCUACCUCCCGGACGUCGGCCUCCUGGUGCCGUCGUGGGUGCCGCAGACGGAGGUGCUCGCUCACGAGGCCACGGGAGGCUUCUUGGUGCACUGUGGGUGGAACUCGGUCCUGGAGAGCCUGGUGCACGGCGUGCCCAUGGUCGCGUGGCCGCUCUUCGCCGAGCAGCGGCAGAACGCCGUGAUGCUUUCAGAGGGUGUCAAGGCCGCCAUGCGAGUGCCGGCGACGAAGAGGAAGGAGGAGAUCGCUGCGGCAGUGAGGGAAGUGAUGGCAGGCCAAGGCAAAGGCGCCCAGGUGAGAGCUAAUGUGGCCGCGCUGCAGAAGGCGGCCAUGGAAGCUCUUCUUGAGGGCGGUGCCGCCACGACCGCGCUGGAUGAGGUGGUGCGCAAGUGGACACGCGAGUAUUGCUAG
RNAcentral lists this ribosomal RNA (1398 nucleotides) under Triticum aestivum (bread wheat). Its description in RNAcentral is "partial small subunit ribosomal RNA". The record is from RNAcentral. Lineage: Eukaryota; Viridiplantae; Streptophyta; Magnoliopsida; Poales; Poaceae.